RNAcentral lists this microRNA precursor (75 nucleotides) under Megaselia scalaris. RNAcentral's name for it is "mir-10 microRNA precursor family". It matches the Rfam family "mir-10 microRNA precursor family". Rfam says of the family: In this case the mature sequence comes from the 5' arm of the precursor. The extents of the hairpin precursors are not generally known and are estimated based on hairpin prediction. The products are thought to have regulatory roles through complementarity to mRNA. The record is from Rfam by way of RNAcentral. Lineage: Eukaryota; Metazoa; Arthropoda; Insecta; Diptera; Phoridae.
UUACAGAAACCCGUAAAUCCGAACUUGUGCUGGGUGGUUUUGUGUUGCAAGAACGGGUUUAUGGGAAUCUGUCAA